UACGUAGGUGGCGAGCGUUAUCCGGAAUUAUUGGGCGUAAAGCGCGUGUAGGUGGCUCUAUAAGUCAGUUGUGAAAUCUCCCGGCUCAACCGGGAACGGGCAUCUGAAACUGCAAGACUUGAGUGCUAGAGGGGAAGGCGGAAUUCCUAGUGUAGCGGUAAAAUGCGUAGAUAUUGGGAGGAACACCAGUGGCGAAGGCGGCCUUCUGGAUAUUAACUGACGCUGAGGCGCGAAAGCGUGGGGAGCAAACAGG
This 253-nucleotide ribosomal RNA is filed under the name uncultured bacterium. Its description in RNAcentral is "partial 16S ribosomal RNA". It matches the Rfam family "Bacterial small subunit ribosomal RNA", at positions 524 to 776 of the family's 1533-position model. The record is from RNAcentral.